CCUACGGGGGGCUGCAGUGGGGGAUAUUGCACAAUGGGGGAAACCCUGAUGCAGCGACGCCGCGUGAGUGAAGAAGUAUUUCGGUAUGUAAAGCUCUAUCAGCAGGGAAGAAAAUGACAGUACCUGACCAAGAAGCACCGGCUAACUACGUGCCAGCAGCCGCGGUAAUACGUAGGGGGCAAGCGUUAUCCGGAUUUACUGGGUGUAAAGGGAGCGUAGACGGUUAUGUAAGUCUGGAGUGAAAGCCCGGGGCCCAACCCCGGGACUGCUUUGGAAACUGUGUAACUGGAGUGCAGGAGGGGCAGGCGGAAUGUCUGGUGUAGCGGUGAAAUGCGUAGAUAUCAGGAGGAACACCGGCGGCGAAGGCGGCCUGCUGGACUGAAACUGACGUUGAGGCUCGAAAGCGUGGGGAGCAAACAGGAUUAGAUACCCCUGUAGUC
RNAcentral lists this ribosomal RNA (440 nucleotides) under uncultured bacterium. RNAcentral's name for it is "partial 16S ribosomal RNA". It matches the Rfam family "Bacterial small subunit ribosomal RNA", at positions 338 to 795 of the family's 1533-position model. The record is from RNAcentral.